Molecule: long non-coding RNA, 818 nt
Filed under: Brassica napus (rape)
Lineage: Eukaryota; Viridiplantae; Streptophyta; Magnoliopsida; Brassicales; Brassicaceae
Description: long non-coding RNA (BNAP_LNC019002)
Source: RNAcentral
AAAUUAACCCCAUUAACUUAGUUAAAAUCAAUUAAACUCAAUUGUGAUGUUGCCACCAUAUAAUCAUUUACUUCAUACAUGUGGCAUGUAUCAACAUAAACUUCGUGUAGUUGUUAACACAUUCUUAUACAUUGGAUGGUUUCCACCAUAUUAGCUUAAAUUUCAUGUAGUUGAAAAACUUUUUUCCAAGUAAAUUGUACAAAUGUAUUUCUUUUUAUAUUUAAGUUUUAAAAGUAAAUUAUUUGUAUACUACGCAUGUUUGUGAAUUGAUUAAAUAUAAGAAAUAUAUUUAUUUUAAUCAAUAGUAUUUUAAUUCAUAGUUAAAUCAUUACAUGCAUUUAGUAGAUCAAUGUUAUACCUUCUGAUUCUUCACUGCUUGGCCUUUAGCAACAUCCUCGUUCUUAUCAUGCUUAAGGUUCUUUAGUAUAUCCUUAUACCCAUGAAGAAGUAUAGUACAUUGUUAUUAGUCACUCUUUUUGGUUUCAAUAAAUUCAAACUUACUUCUAAAUCCAGCUAAUACUCUUGUUUAUAAUAAUGAGCUAAGUUAAAAAAAAAAAGACUUCCACAAGACUAUCUACCAUUUUUAGAAACCAUACAGAAACUCUGCCAUGAUGGAAAUAGGAAGUGACAAAAGUAGAGAUAGUUAAGAAUUUAAGAUAAAUCUUACUGGUCUUGAGAACGAAGCUCCUACUCUUUUUCAAGCUCUUCCUUAGAAGCAUUUAUCGUCAUCAUCUCCUUCAUCAUCAUCUUCUUCCAUGCUAUGAUCAUCUUCGCCAUCUUCUACCCAUCAAAUAAAUCAUCAUCUUCAUUCUCCCUUU